GACGAACGCUGGCGGCGUGCUUAACACAUGCAAGUCGAACGGAAAGGCCCUGCUUUUGUGGGGUGCUCGAGUGGCGAACGGGUGAGUAACACGUGAGUAACCUGCCCUUGACUUUGGGAUAACUUCAGGAAACUGGGGCUAAUACCGGAUAGGAGCUCCUGCUGCAUGGUGGGGGUUGGAAAGUUUCGGCGGUUGGGGAUGGACUCGCGGCUUAUCAGCUUGUUGGUUGGGUAGUGGCUUACCAAGGCUUUGACGGGUAGCCGGCCUGAGAGGGUGAGCGGGCACAUUGGGACUGAGAUACGGCGCAGACUCCUACGGGAGGCAGCAGUGGGGAAUAUUGCACAAUGGGCGGAAGCCUGAUGAAGAAACGCCGCGUGCGGGAUGACGGCCUUCAGGUUGUAAACCGCUUUCGCCUGUGACGAAGCGUGAGUGACAGUAAUAGGUAAAGAAGCACCGGCUAACUACGUG
This 468-nucleotide ribosomal RNA is filed under the name uncultured bacterium. RNAcentral's name for it is "partial 16S ribosomal RNA". It matches the Rfam family "Bacterial small subunit ribosomal RNA", at positions 28 to 507 of the family's 1533-position model. The record is from RNAcentral.